Meriones unguiculatus (Mongolian gerbil) is the source of this 102-nucleotide small nuclear RNA. NCBI's taxonomy places the organism in Eukaryota, Metazoa, Chordata, Mammalia, Rodentia, Muridae. The record is from Ensembl.
GUGCUGGAUUCGGCAGCACAUACACAAAAAUUAAUACAGAGAAGAUUAACAUGGCCCCUGUGCAAGGAUGACAGGCAAAUUUGUGAAGCACUCCAUAUUUAA